Marmota monax (woodchuck) is the source of this 5121-nucleotide long non-coding RNA. RefSeq lists it as uncharacterized. The transcript is spliced from 4 exons. The record is from RefSeq and is a predicted model, not a curated record. NCBI's taxonomy places the organism in Eukaryota, Metazoa, Chordata, Mammalia, Rodentia, Sciuridae.
CCAUGAUCACGUUGUCCUCAUCCAGAACAUUGACCUUCAUGAAAACAAGGUGUCAGUUUGCAACAGAUGUGUUUGUGAAGACCACAGUAUCAUAGGAUACUCCCGACAAACACAAAACCAAUAAAAUGUUAUUGCCACUAAGAAAACAAAAAACGGUGUGUCCUCUCCAAGACAGUGUGGCUUCUGAAAAUUUGCACUGAUAGAUGAUCCCCAAUAUUCCUGGACCACACUGCUGGGAUUCACCCACCAGCUGCACUUUAUUUAUAACUCCAAAAUUCACUCUUGCUGUGCUUUUGCAGUCUUCCUGGACCCAUGCAGAGCAGCAAAAACCAAGGGUCCCAGUGUGCAUGUUCCCAGACCGGGAUGCUCUGCUCUCUUCUCCCAGUGCUAAUACCGCAAGCAAACGCGCUUUGUGUGGUCUCUUCAGUGUCACAGGUUUUUCAUUUUGUUGUUGCAUUGUUUGUGAUUUUUGUGGAUCAUGUUGGCCCCUCAAACCCAGUUCUGAAAGCCGUUCAGGAUUCCUAAGGGUAAGAGACAGGGAUGUGCCCCGUGGGGAAGAUACAUGCAUUUGAUGAGCUCCGCACCGGUGGGCAUCCUGGCUCUCUUGGCAGUGGGUUCAAUGUCAGUGCUUCUGCAGUGGAUGUUAAACUAGCCGCUCUGAACAGGAGCUCACAAAAUCAAGGUAACCUGUUAAUGGGUGGAUUAAAAUGCUACCUGAGUCUUGCAGGAACUCACCCCUGUGCUCCCCCAGGGGCAACGAUUCAGGAUCUGCAAAUUCAGUGUUUAUGGCGAUCUGUGGAGCUAGCAAAAAUACCACAAAUGAUGUGAAUCAACCGUAUGGAUUUCUAAGUGUCAUUUUCCUAAGAGACACUCCAUUAUUUCUUAAUAAUUACUAAAAUAAGUAAUUAAGCAACAAGUGCAUCUCUGCUGUAUACAAUGUGGUCCAACCCUGGCUCCUGCUUGAGAGGUCCCAAUUAUGAAAAAACACACACACGAUUUUCUACUUCUUUCUACCAUUGACAGGAUCCUGAGGCAAUCUUCCAGGCUUCCUGGUAAAUCUGAGAAGUUCUCAUGGCACAGAAGCACUGCGGCUCGGAAUGUGCCCGGGUGCUCAGCACCAGAGGCAGCCCAGCAAGGAUGCCCCCCCUGCGGCUUAGCUUCCAGAGUGAGCGCCACCCAGUGAAUGCCUGGGACGAAACCAGCAGGUCAUUCCAGAGAGGUGCAGCGCUCUGAGAUCAGCCGCACAGCAACGGAGCUGGGGGAGGAAGAGCGACGUGAGAGAGAAAGUGCAAGAAAAGUCCAGAAUAAGGAAAAGGACCGGGCUGGGAGAUUUCCCCAUCUCUCUGUUCAGCUUCCAGCUAGAUUUCCAUCUCUAAGUCACCUCUGUCUUUUCUUCCUACCGCAAGUGGACAAAAGAAGCCGUGCGGGGUUUUGGAUGCCUUGCUGCUGAGACAUUUCUUCUUAGAUUCCCACUCAUCACUCUUACGUUCUGCGUCCCUCUCAGUCCUAGGAAAGGGUCAUGAUUCAGCCCAGCACUUCGCAGCUAAAUCACCAGCUUGGCCUCCCUCUGACUUCCAGUACCUUCAGUAUCGUCAUUUGUCUGAGGCUUCGUGAGAAUGGCCUUCUCUGUCCAUCUGUCUACCAACAUUCUGGUUACAACCCCUGGGGUGACCUGAGAUCCAGGCUCUCCAUGCAGGACAGCCACCCAUGAAUUGCCCCGAAUCCUACACUCAUGGAGACCUCGGCCUUUUCUAACUGCAUCUCCAAAUUCUCCGCCCGUUCCCCACCUCCAAAGCAGCUUCCAAAAUGUCAGGCAUUUAAUACAGCAACAGCCCCCAUCUCAGCACCAGUUCAUUUCAUACCAUUAUCACAGAAUCUCCAAAAUUGAGUCAUUUACAAAGAAUAGAGGUUUCUUUCUCACAGUUUUGGAGGCUUCCAAGUCCGAGAUCAAGGGUGUCCCUUGGUGAGGACCUUCUUGCUGCAUCAUAAUGUCGCCAGAGGCAUCGCAGCAAAAGAGCACCCACAGGAGAGGUGGAAGGGACAAAGUCAUCCUUUCAUCAGGAGCCCAGUCCUGCAUCAGCUAGCCAGUCCCAUAAUGACGGCAUCCAUCCCUCCGUGAGGACAGAGCCCUCCACCCUGUCACCUUGUGAAGGUCCCUGUCCCAACAGCUGCACUGAGGUCUCUUUUUUUUUAAUCCACCCUUUUAAUUAUUUAUUUAUUUUAGUUGUAGACAGUCACAAUACUUUUAUUUUAUUUUAUUUUUAAUGUGGUGCUGAGGAUCAAACCCAGUGCCUCACACACACAAGGCAAACGCUCUGCCACUGAGCUACACCCUCAGCCCCCUGAGGACGUUUUUGUAACACAUGAAUUUUGGGGACCACGUUUAAACCCUAGCAAGAGCAUUGAACCUUCCUGGUUCUGUUUCUCUGGAGAAUCCUGAAUUAAGUGAAUUCCUUAUUAAUGGACAAAGAGUAAUGAACAGAAAUAACUGGCUGAGAAUAAUUUAGAAAACAAAAAAUCAAAUAAAAGGCAAAAAUGGACCAAAAUGAGCCUAGACACUUUAAGGGUCACGGGCUUCCUGUGGCUUUGCGUCUAAGUGUAUCCCGGAUGCUCCUACCUGUCCCCUCCUCCAUGCCAUCCCCGGAUGAGCUGCCAUCGCCGCUGCUGUUGCCUGAGUGUGACCUCCAAAUGUGACUCCAAAUGCAUUUCUUCUCUUGUAAAUUGCCCAGUCUCAGGGAUUCUGCUGCAGUCUAACAGGAAGCUGACCACUAUAAUUUGAAUGUGUCCUCCAAAAUUCAUGGUUUGGAAACUUGGUGCCCCAUAUAGCAGUGUUGGCAGCAGGGACCUUUGGGGAGAUGACUGGGUGCUCAGCGGUCUACCCUCCUGGGUGGAUUCAUCCCUUCAAAUUAACGUAGUGUUUUGGGGGUGGCUUUGUUUUAAACGUGCCAUCUCCGUGUUUGCUCUCUGGCCAUGUGAUGCCUCCAAUGUGACAACGCAGCAGGAAGGCCCUUACCAAACACUGGGGAGAUUUUCGGACUUCUCAGCCUCCAGAAUUUUGAGCUGAAUACACCCAUUUUCUUUACAAAUUACUAAGACUCAGACAUUUUGCUAUAAUAACAGAAAAUGAACUAAGACACAGACUAAGGCACCCGUCUACCUGGGUUCCACCCUAACGUCUCCCCAAUCUUCACUUCUUCCCCUGCACCCCACCCCAUAUGGCAGCCAGCGAGACGGCAGUGGACCCAAUGUUUCACUCCCACCCAAUUUAUAUGUGGAGACCCUGGCCCCUUGUGAUGGCCUUUGGAGGGGGAGCAUUUGAGGAGAAGCCGGCCUUCUGCAACCUGCAAGAUGGACCUCCCAGAACCGGCACUGCUCUGAUCUAGCACUUCUGGGCUCCAGGACCGUGAGAGGCCAAUUUCUUUUGUUCAUAUUUCCCCCCGUCCGUGGUACUUUGGUAUAGUAGCCCCUGCUGCCUAAGAGUGAGAUCUACAAAUGCAAAUGUCUUCUCCACUUAAAAUCUCCCUGUGGCCACCUGUGGCCCUAAGGCCUCAAAACCCAGACCUCAUUUCCCAGCUCAUGUUCACUCUCUGACCUCGCUUCCUUCUCAUCUUUCCCUCCCUGGCUCACAGGGCUCCGGUCUCUCCAGGGCCUUUUGUCCCCCUGGCUCUGCCCAGCACCCUCCAAACCUCCCCCUAAAGGUCUUCCCGUGGCCUCAACUUCUCAUCACUCAGGUGAGUCUCAGGCAUGACCGUCUCCAUGGAGACCCUCGCCGCUGACUGCUGCCCCAGCCUGGCCACACCCAUCAGUCCGGCUGCUCUGUACAGCGGGCUGCAGGGAAGAAGUCAAGACUGGAGAGGUGCUGGGGUGGGCCCGGGUAGGCGGUGGUCUCAGUCUGUGCUCAGUCCAUUGCCUGUUGCUGUAACAAAACGCCCCGUGCAUUCGUGAGGGCGCUGCCUGUUGGACUUCUCCACAGCACCCGCCCCUCCCUGGACCUGCCUCUCCUCCCUCCCCAGGAGAAUCUGUCCUCUUCAUUCCAUGUCCCCAACCCAGGGCCUGUGUCCACCUUUCCCUUCUGCACUUGUGUCCACUUAGGGAACAGUCUGGGUGAAUCUGAUGUCAGAGUUGGAGCGAAGAAGACGUCACUGCUAAAGUCAUGCCCCUCCCCCAAUGGGGACAGAGAAUUGGCCUAUUUGGGGUCAUCUACAGGGUGUUUGUGAAAGACAUGGUUGACACACACAACACAGAGCAAAACGAGAGGCACUUCCAAGGGGAGACAAGUCUCACCAGGAGAGAUCAAAGAAGAGGGUUCUUUCUUAAAAUGGGAGAGAAAAAAUGAGUUUUCCAAGAUAGAACGUGGUGUAUGUAGCUUGCCCCAUGACUAUGAGUGAUCCUUAAAGACUGAGAGCAGGCAAGAACAGGCAGACUUCCCAGGGGAAGAGCAGCGUACUGUGGCAGACAGGUGUCUCUUACUUAUGUACCUGCAGGGACCACACACAUCAUCUAACAAUGCAUCUCUAGGUGCACGUAUCUGGGCUCAGGUCUGUGUAGCCACAUCAAGAUGGCGCAUGUGUUGGAAUGUGCCUGGGUGACUGCACUUCACAGUAGCUCAUCUCCGCAGGCCAGAUCUCCAUGAUAUUCCUCAUCAGUCCCCCUGUAAUCAGUGUGAAGGGGGUGACCUUCCUAAACCAGGAAAACAAACCAGAGUCCAACCAGCCAACUGGCCAAAGGCAGGACGGACAGCGAGGAGGCGGGCGAGGGGCACUUACUCUUUUUACGGAGCUUCGGAAGGCGCGGAACAGGUACGGGCUCAGGGACUGAGCGUUCACUUUGGCCACCGCGGCGCUGAGGGCUUCCCGCAGGGAGGAGGGAUCAUAGUCGUACACGGGGAAACCUGGACGCACAAGCACACGGGCCACCGUGAGAGGGGAAGGCUGCGUGUCCCCAAGAGCAGGUGGCCUGUCGAGCUCCCUACCUGAGCAAGGCCCGAGGUCCAUCCCCAGAGCCAGCAUCACCAGCACCUUCAUGGCCAGCGCCAUCGUGAGCAGAAGGUUUCAAUUCAGAGACUCUCCCUCUGCAGCUCCAGGGUGACAACCCUUCCUGAGACCUGUUGUCUUUGUCAAA